RNAcentral lists this ribosomal RNA (168 nucleotides) under Russula sp. Its description in RNAcentral is "partial large subunit ribosomal RNA". It matches the Rfam family "Eukaryotic large subunit ribosomal RNA", at positions 99 to 260 of the family's 3401-position model. The record is from RNAcentral. Lineage: Eukaryota; Fungi; Basidiomycota; Agaricomycetes; Russulales; Russulaceae.
CGGGAAAAGCUCAAAUUUAAAAUCUGGUGGUCUUUGGCCGUCCGAGUUGUAAUUUAGAGAAGCGUCUUCCGCGCUGGACCGUGUACAAGUCUCCUGGAAUGGAGCGUCAUAGAGGGUGAGAAUCCCGUCUUUGACACGGACCCCAGGGCUUCUGUGAUGCGCUCUCGA